GCUGGCGACCGGCGCACGGGUGAGUAACACGUAUCCAACCUGCCGAUAACUCGGGGAUAGCCUUUCGAAAGAAAGAUUAAUACCCGAUAGCAUAAUGAUUCCGCAUGGUUUCAUUAUUAAAGGAUUCCGGUAAAGGAUGGGGAUGCGUUCCAUUAGGUUGUUGGUGAGGUAACGGCUCACCAAGCCUUCGAUGGAUAGGGGUUCUGAGAGGAAGGUCCCCCACAUUGGAACUGAGACACGGUCCAA
This 246-nucleotide ribosomal RNA is filed under the name uncultured bacterium. Its description in RNAcentral is "partial 16S ribosomal RNA". It matches the Rfam family "Bacterial small subunit ribosomal RNA", at positions 87 to 334 of the family's 1533-position model. The record is from RNAcentral.